This 59-nucleotide transfer RNA is filed under the name Loxodonta africana (African savanna elephant). It matches the Rfam family "tRNA", at positions 7 to 64 of the family's 71-position model. From Rfam's summary of the family: Transfer RNA (tRNA) molecules are approximately 80 nucleotides in length. Their secondary structure includes four short double-helical elements and three loops (D, anti-codon, and T loops). The record is from Rfam by way of RNAcentral. Lineage: Eukaryota; Metazoa; Chordata; Mammalia; Proboscidea; Elephantidae.
GUGGCACAAUGGUUGAGCACUCGGCUGCUAACUGAAAGGUUGGUGGUUCAAACCCACCC